GACGAACGCUGGCGGCGUGCUUAACACAUGCAAGUCGAACGGAAAGGCCCUGCUUGCAGGGUACUCGAGUGGCGAACGGGUGAGUAACACGUGGGUGAUCUGCCCUGCACUUCGGGAUAAGCCUGGGAAACUGGGUCUAAUACCGGAUCGGAGCCAUUUUUAGUGUGAUGGUUGGAAAGUUUUUUCGGUGUAGGAUGAGCUCGCGACCUAUCAGCUUGUUGGUGGGGUAAUGGCCUACCAAGGCGGCGACGGGUAGCCGGCCUGAGAGGGUGGACGGCCACAUUGGGACUGAGAUACGGCCCAGACUCCUACGGGAGGCAGCAGUGGGGAAUAUUGCACAAUGGGCGCAAGCCUGAUGCAGCGACGCCGCGUGGGGGAUGACGGCCUUCGGGUUGUAAACUCCUUUCGCUAGGGACGAAGCUUUUUGUGACGGUACCUAGAUAAGAAGCACCGGCUAACUACGUG
This 465-nucleotide ribosomal RNA is filed under the name uncultured bacterium. RNAcentral describes it as "partial 16S ribosomal RNA". It matches the Rfam family "Bacterial small subunit ribosomal RNA", at positions 28 to 507 of the family's 1533-position model. The record is from RNAcentral.